CCUACGGGAGACAGCAGUGGGGGAUAUUGCACAAUGGGGGAAACCCUGAUGCAGCGACGCCGCGUGGGUGAAGAAGCGCCUCGGCGCGUAAAGCCCUGUCAGCAGGGAAGAAAAUGACGGUACCUGAAGAAGAAGCCCCCGCGAAGUCAGUGCCAGCAGCCGCGGUAAUUCGGAGGGGGCAAGCGUUCUCCGGGUUUAAUGGGUGGAAAGGGGGCGCAGACGGCGAUGCAAGCCAGGAGUGAAAGGCCGGGGCCCAACCCCGGGACUGCGCUGGGAACUGGGUGGCUGGAGUGCAGGAGGGGCAGGCGGAAUUCCUGGUGUAGCGGUGAAAUGCGUAGAUAUCAGGAGGAACACCGGUGGCGAAGGCGGCCUGCUGGACUGCAACUGACGUUGAGGCCCGAAAGCGUGGGGAGCAAACAGGAUUAGAUACCCCGGUAGUC
RNAcentral lists this ribosomal RNA (440 nucleotides) under uncultured bacterium. Its description in RNAcentral is "partial 16S ribosomal RNA". It matches the Rfam family "Bacterial small subunit ribosomal RNA", at positions 338 to 795 of the family's 1533-position model. The record is from RNAcentral.